AGAGUUUGAUCCUGGCUCAGGAUGAACGCUGGCGGCGUGCUUAACACAUGCAAGUCGAGCGAAGCGAUUUAAAUGAGACUUCGGUGGAUUUUAAAUUGACUGAGCGGCGGACGGGUGAGUAACGCGUGGAUAACCUGCCUCACACAGGGGGAUAACAGUUAGAAAUGACUGCUAAUACCGCAUAAGCGCACGGUACUGCAUGGUAUAGUGUGAAAAACUCCGGUGGUGUGAGAUGGAUCCGCGUCUGAUUAGGUAGUUGGUGAGGUAACGGCCCACCAAGCCGACGAUCAGUAGCCGACCUGAGAGGGUGACCGGCCACAUUGGGACUGAGACACGGCCCAAACUCCUACGGGAGGCAGCAGUGGGGAAUAUUGCACAAUGGGGGAAACCCUGAUGCAGCGACGCCGCGUGAGCGAAGAAGUAUUUCGGUAUGUAAAGCUCUAUCAGCAGGGAAGAUAAUGACGGUACCUGACUAAGAAGCCCCGGCUAACUACGUGCCAGCAGCCGCGGUAAUACGUAGGGGGCAAGCGUUAUCCGGAUUUACUGGGUGUAAAGGGAGCGUAGACGGCAAGGCAAGUCUGAUGUGAAAACCCAGGGCUUAACCCUGGGACUGCAUUGGAAACUGUCUGGCUCGAGUGCCGGAGAGGUAAGCGGAAUUCCUAGUGUAGCGGUGAAAUGCGUAGAUAUUAGGAAGAACACCAGUGGCGAAGGCGGCUUACUGGACGGUAACUGACGUUGAGGCUCGAAAGCGUGGGGAGCAAACAGGAUUAGAUACCCUGGUAGUCCACGCCGUAAACGAUGAA
RNAcentral lists this ribosomal RNA (803 nucleotides) under uncultured bacterium. RNAcentral describes it as "bacterial SSU rRNA". It matches the Rfam family "Bacterial small subunit ribosomal RNA", at positions 8 to 813 of the family's 1533-position model. The record is from RNAcentral.